RNAcentral lists this ribosomal RNA (481 nucleotides) under uncultured bacterium. RNAcentral's name for it is "SSU rRNA". It matches the Rfam family "Bacterial small subunit ribosomal RNA", at positions 26 to 517 of the family's 1533-position model. The record is from RNAcentral.
AGGACGAACGCUGGCGGCGUGCCUAACACAUGCAAGUCGAACGCGCUCCAUUCGGUAGCAAUACUGAUGAAGAGCGAGUGGCGAACGGGUGAGUAGCACGUGAGCAACCUGCCCCGAAGACUGGGACAACACCGGGAAACCGGUGCUAAUACCGGAUAUCCCUAUUGGAUCGCAUGAUCCGAUAAGGAAAUGUUUUUCGCUUCGGGAGGGGCUCGCGGCCUAUCAGCUAGUUGGUGGGGUAACGGCCCACCAAGGCAUCGACGGGUAGCUGGUCUGAGAGGACGAUCAGCCACACUGGGACUGAGACACGGCCCAGACUCCUACGGGAGGCAGCAGUGGGGAAUCUUGCGCAAUGGGCGAAAGCCUGACGCAGCAACGCCGCGUGGAGGACGAAGGCUUUCUGAGUUGUAAACUCCUUUCAGCAGGGACGAUUGUGACGGUACCUGCAGAAGAGCACCGGCCAACUACGUGCCAGCAGCCG